UGCUUUUCUUUAUUCAGUAUUUGGUAAUUUCAGGCAGCAAUUAGUCACGCGCAAGGCGCGUGCAAAUUUACUUUCUCUAUUUAUUCGGGCAUCUUAGUUGAUUCCCAAAUGCUCAAUAAUUGUGUCUUUAGGGUUAGGGCUCUUUAUUUUCUCUGUUCAUCAGGUUCUUUUUAUCUCUUCGAAUUUUCAUUACAGACCCUGAUCCUAAACUCUGAAUUAUGUCUUCCAAGCAAGGUGGCAAAGCAAAGCCUUUGAAGCAACCCAAAGCUGAGAAGAAAGAAUACGACGAGCAUGAUUUGGCUAACAUUCAGAAAAAGAAAGAAGAAGAGAAGGCCCUUAGAGAGCUGAGAGCAAAGGCAUCACAAAAGGGAUCAUUUGGUGGUUCUGGUCUUAAGAAGAGUGGCAAGAAAUGAGUUUCUUAAAAACCCGAGCUAAACCGAACUUAUCGAGUCCUGUCUUGGGAUUAAAACAUCUAUUAUGCUGAUGUCUCUUGUUUCUAUUGUGAUAGUUGGGAUGAUUUGAUGCUCUAGUUUCAUUCUGAAUUUGCUAUAAAAAACAUUGUGUGUAAUUUCGUGACGUAUAACUUAAUAAAUUCAAGUUCUACGUUUGUGUUUUUUGUCUAUACAUUUGUAAAUCUCCUAUUGUUGUGGUUCGCUAUUGUUUUCCUUGCUUCUUAUGAAUUCUUGUAAGAUAUGCAUCUCAUCUUUGAAUGAUUGGUUCUGAUUUAUGCGGUGAAUCAUGUAUGAGUAGUUAGUUAGACUGUCGGUGUUCUCGUCUAGCGAAUUUUAACACCUAAUGAAUGAGCAUGUAAGGCUUUAAAUGUGCCUUUAGCUUAUGCGUGCUUAUCAGCGCCUGACCCUGAGACGUGGAUCAAGGGUUAGGGUUUAGAAAUCUUUUUGGUUAUCGUAAGGAUAAAAACCAAAACGUUGUAGUCCAUCGCUUACCGAUGUAUGACCAAGGAUGUUAAAAUUCAUGGUACAUUGGUUUAAGAUGAAUCGAGAUCAAUUUUCUUGCCUACAUAGAUAGAGGCUAACUAUGUGCUAUUGUCACGGGUCUCUAGUAUGGUUCAUGGACCUGAAUCGUAUUAUGUUGGAAACUUGUGCUUUCCUUUUGUCGUCUAUCUAUUUUCUGGUCUUAACCCAUUUGCAUCUUCAAUUCAAUUUUUAGUUGGAAUAUAACCCUCUAAUUACAUGGAUAAACAUGAAAAAAAUUGAUAGUGGUCCCUUUUAAAUUUGAUAUUGAGUAAAUUGGUCUUUUUCAAAUGAAGUGGAAUGAUAUAGCUAGUGUUAACUUUAGAAGUGAGCAACUUCAGUGUUUAUCAAUUUAUUUUACUUUAGAUUGCCAAAAUAAUAAAUUUAAUUUGCUAAAAUUAAAUAUUCUUAUUGGUAUGUUAUAAGGUUUUGAGAGUGCUAAAUUUAUUAUUAUAUUAAUUAGAAGUGAGAAAAUUGGUAGAAAAAAUGAAUACUUAUCAAUUUCAAAGUUGAUAGAGAUUAAAUUGAACGGUUUAAAAUUGUUUUGUAUUUUUGAAAGGAUACAAGUUGCUAAAUAUUGAUAUUGGAAGAGACUGAAAUUGUCUUUUAUAAAAAAUAAAAAUGACCAUGAAGAGCACAACCAUUUUUGAUACUCAAAACAAGAAUCCAAAUUCCAAGAGAAAAAUAUUUAAAUUGGUUAACCAUCGUUCAUCCAUGUUAUGUAAAGAGCAGGAUUAGGAAGACUACAAAUAAAACAGAGCCUACACGGUUUUUAUUACAGAACAAGACCAAAGAACAAUCAACCUUUCUACCAGCUUAUGUUACAAAAAACCAGUCCCUAGUUUAUUACUAAUUGUCAAAACGUUCACCGUUAAUUGAUGAUAGAAUGGCGGAAUCUACGGUAGGUUUUCUUUUUGGUGCUCCGAUCAAAAUUAGCUGGCUUCCAAUCCGACGGACUCAACUAACAUUCACAACUAGUCGAUUUCUGAGGCCAACCACCGUCGACGACAUCAAUAUUUUCAGGAAGGUUCAUUCUUGAGAACAUUUUUGGCUAUACAUUCAAAUGCGGCAUCAACAUUGAAUCCUUCUUUUGCUGAUGUCUCGAAGUGCGGUAUGUUUCCCUUUGAAACAGACCAUGCCAUUGCCGUCUUUUCAGAAAU
Gossypium arboreum is the source of this 2131-nucleotide long non-coding RNA. RefSeq lists it as uncharacterized. The transcript has 5 exons. The record is from RefSeq and is a predicted model, not a curated record. NCBI's taxonomy places the organism in Eukaryota, Viridiplantae, Streptophyta, Magnoliopsida, Malvales, Malvaceae.